This 72-nucleotide transfer RNA is filed under the name Camelus bactrianus (Bactrian camel). It matches the Rfam family "tRNA". Rfam says of the family: Transfer RNA (tRNA) molecules are approximately 80 nucleotides in length. Their secondary structure includes four short double-helical elements and three loops (D, anti-codon, and T loops). Further hydrogen bonds mediate the characteristic L-shaped molecular structure. tRNAs have two regions of fundamental functional importance: the anti-codon, which is responsible for specific mRNA codon recognition, and the 3' end, to which the tRNAs corresponding amino acid is attached (by aminoacyl-tRNA synthetases). tRNAs cope with the degeneracy of the genetic code in two manners: having more than one tRNA (with a specific anti-codon) for a particular amino acid; and 'wobble' base-pairing, i.e. permitting non-standard base-pairing at the 3rd anti-codon position. Lineage: Eukaryota; Metazoa; Chordata; Mammalia; Artiodactyla; Camelidae. The record is from Rfam by way of RNAcentral. RNAcentral also lists the same sequence under 2 other names.
GUAGGUAUAGCUUAGUGGUAGAGUGCAUGCUUAGCAUGCACAAGAUCCUGGGUUCAAUCCCCAGUACCUCCA